Molecule: ribosomal RNA, 1278 nt
Filed under: Triticum aestivum (bread wheat)
Lineage: Eukaryota; Viridiplantae; Streptophyta; Magnoliopsida; Poales; Poaceae
Description: partial small subunit ribosomal RNA
Source: RNAcentral
AUGUUGGAGGGUCAAUCUUGCCUGAUCUCGAGGUCACUGCCCAGCUCCUGCGAACAGGAAUCCAGAUUAGCUUAUAUGACUUACCACCUCCUUGAGAUCACAAGGACUAAGCGCCCAUCUGGGGUCCUGGCUAUUGAACAGGAUGGAAUUGCUGUGGCGGCAGUGCUGGCAAAGCGGCCUAAGUCUGAGGAUAGCCAUGAUGCUGUGCCGGUAGACUGUCAAGGUGGUAAUCAGGGCUAUUCUGAUUCAAGCACACUGAUAAGUUCUAUUGGCAGAGAUAAUUCAAUCAAUUGUCUAGCCCGCUGCUCUCGGUCUGAUUAUGGCUCCAUUGCAUCACUGAGCCGGAACUUCCGUUCCCUUGUCCGUGAUGGUGGUCUGUACAGAGAAAGGCGGAGGUUAGGGAUUGCAGAACACUGGGUGUAUUUCUCCUGCAAUGUGCAGGAGUGGGAGGCAUAUGACCCAUACCGUGAACGGUGGAUGACGCUCCCAAGGAUGCCACCUAAUGAGUGUUUCAUGUGCUCAGACAAGGAGUCACUAGCUGUCGGCACUGAACUUCUGGUGUUUGGCAAGGAGAUUCUAUCACAUAUUGUUCUUAGCUAUAGCAUCCUGACCAACUCAUGGUCAAGAGGCGUUGAAAUGAAUGCCCCUAGAUGUUUGUUUGGUUCGGCUAGUUUUGGAGAGAAGGCAAUUAUAGCUGGUGGCAUGGAUUGUUUUGGGAAUGUGCUUAGUUCUGCUGAGCUGUACAACUCUGAAACUAAAAGUUGGAUUACACUUCCGAGCAUGAACAAGCGUAGGAGAAUGUGUUCUGGAGUCUUCAUGGAUGGCAAGUUUUAUGUUAUUGGUGGAAUGGCCAGUAACACGGAGGUGCUGACAUGCGGAGAAGAGUAUGAUUUAGAGAAGGGUACCUGGAGGUUGAUAGAGAACAUGUCAGAGGGGCUCAAUGGUGCCAGUGGUGCUCCUCCCCUUGUUGCUGUAGUUGACAAUGAGCUAUAUGCGGCUCAAUAUGCAGGAAAACUAGUAAGGAAGUAUAAUAAAAGUGACAACACAUGGACAACUCUUGGGGAGUUACCAGAGCGCCCAGAAGCUGUGAAUGGCUGGGGCAUUGCAUUCCGAGGAUGCGGAGAGCGGCUCCUGGUGAUUGGUGGACCAAGAGUGCUGGGCGGCGGGAUGAUUGAACUCCAUUCGUGGAUCCCAAGGGAGGGCCCCUUGCAAUGGAACAUGAUCGGAAGCAAACCUUCUGGCAACUUUGUUUAUAACUGUGCUGUCAUGGGGUGCUGA